ACCAUAGAGAGGGCCUCCUGGCU
This 23-nucleotide non-coding RNA is filed under the name Rattus norvegicus (Norway rat). The record is from RNAcentral. Lineage: Eukaryota; Metazoa; Chordata; Mammalia; Rodentia; Muridae.